GGCCUCUGUGCCCGUCCCUGUCUUAGCUCAUUGCCUUCUCCUGGGCCUUGUCCCUUCUCACGCCAACCACAGUGGGUUGAGGGGCAUCCCCCAGAACAUAUGUUGAAGUCCUCGUCCCUCGGGUCUCCAAAUGUGACCUUCAUUGGAGAUAGGGAUUUUGCAGGUGUGAUGAAAUGAGGACGCAGUCAUCCUGGAUAAGGUUGGGCCUGAAGUCCAGUGGCGGACAUCAGGGGAAAGGAAGGUGGAGAGGACACUCAGGGGAGGAGGCCACGAGAAGGGGGAGGUGGAAAUGAGUCUACAAACCAGGGGCCACCGGCGGUCGCCAGGAGCUCCCAGAAGCCAAGAUGAGGCUGGGCAGUCUUCCCUGGAGCCUCAGAGGGAGCCUGGCCCUGAUGGCACUUGGAUUUUAAACUUCUCGCCUCCAGAACUGUGGGGAAAGAGCCACCUGGCUUGGGACCAUUGGUCACAGUGGCCCUGGGACACCACAGCACCCACCGACCUCCACAGGACACCACAGCACCCACCAACCUCCUUUACGGAUGGACAAACAGGGUCUAGGGGAGGAUCUCCAGGCCGCAUCCUGCAGAGGGGUCUGCAGCAGGGUCUCCGUC
This 611-nucleotide long non-coding RNA is filed under the name Marmota monax (woodchuck). Lineage: Eukaryota; Metazoa; Chordata; Mammalia; Rodentia; Sciuridae. The record is from RNAcentral.